UGGCAAAUACAUUUCUAACAUAUCAAUGAUUUUCACAGGAUUGUACCUGCUGUUGCCUAACGUCAUUUCCCAAAGGAAACUUUGCUCCUCGGUAUCCUUUCCUGUGUCAAACGAAAGGGCCUCAGGAAUAUCGUAAAUGACAAAUUAAAAGAGUCUCAGAUAAAACACGUUUUACAAAUUCAGGGCCUUCUUCUCUCAGAGCUGUGAUGGCCAAAGAAGGGAUGCUACCAGAAGUUUGUUGGUCCAUGAGUCUAUCUCCGAUAUUCUCCACCCAGGAUAUACUGCACACUACUGAAGAUUAGAGUUUUUAAAGUCAGACUGGUAAGUCACACGCCAUAUAUAAAGAAAAUAAGAUAGCAUUGCCAAAGGGCUGUGCAAAGCUUUGUAUCAAUUUAUAUUCUUACUGCUUCUUUACUGCAACUAUUGCCACACGAACUCAACAGCACUGGAUAUUAUAAUUCUUCUAUUUUUCAACCAAGUGUGUUGUCAAAAAUAGCGUCUUAACUGCUUUAAAAAUUUUGUUUUUACGUCUCUAGUGUGUUUUGUGGUAUACAGUUAGUACCUAAAUAUUUAAAUAAACAUUGGCUAUUCCUUUAUUUUUUAUAAGAAAAAAAAAACACAUUGAUAAAAAAUAUUUGAACAUGUGUGCAGUAUAAACAGACAUUUUAAUGGGGAUUUUUCUUGGUAAGUAUUUGUGAUGUUUUUAAUUUUUAUAAUCAUAAUUUAAGAGGACUGUAUUGAAAUGGACACAUUGAUUCCUCUAAAUUAUACUGUUCAAAUUUUUUCUCAGUGUAAUUAUAGAUGUUCUUUGUAACAAAGGGAUUUGGACUGAACUGUGAAAAGUUCUAAAGAGAUUAGAUAGUAAUCAUCACAUUAAUAUAUAAAAUGUAUCACAUCUUAAAUUAAUGAAAUACAUAGUCUAAGAUUAUAUCAACCAGCAGUUUAUUAAGUUUGCUCCGUUGACUGCCAAUUUCCUAUUUAAUAAUGAAGGCUCCCUAAAUAUCCUUGGCUCUUUUCCAUACGCUAAUUUGUACACUUAUCACCAAUAUUUGAUCUUAAAAUUUGAAAUAUUCUUUAAUUUAAAUAAGUUUACAAUUUCUUUUUUAGUAAUCUCUGCAUGAACAGCCAGUCUCACAGGGGAACGGUGUCUAGGGUUACAGGUCAAUAUGGUUGGUUAAUACCAUUCUUUUUUCAUGAGCGUCUACAGGAAAAUUUUAUAAAUAGCCUUUUUAAUGCAAGAGUUCUCUUAAACUCACACCCACUAUAAUUCUGCACAGAAAUAAGAU
Molecule: long non-coding RNA, 1286 nt
Organism: Felis catus (domestic cat)
Lineage: Eukaryota; Metazoa; Chordata; Mammalia; Carnivora; Felidae
Exons: 4
Source: RefSeq, a predicted model, not a curated record